RNAcentral lists this ribosomal RNA (402 nucleotides) under bacterium. RNAcentral's name for it is "partial 16S ribosomal RNA". It matches the Rfam family "Bacterial small subunit ribosomal RNA", at positions 355 to 776 of the family's 1533-position model. The record is from RNAcentral.
UGGGGAAUUUUGCACAAUGGGGGAAACCCUGAUGCAGCGACGCCGCGUGAUUUAGAAGGCCUUCGGGUUGUAAAAAUCUUUUCUAUGGGAAUAAAAUGACAGUACCAUAGGAAUAAGGACCGGCUAAUUACGUGCCAGCAGCCGCGGUAAUACGUAAGGUCCGAGCGUUGUCCGGAAUCAUUGGGCGUAAAGGGUACGUAGGCGGGUAAGCAAGUUAGAAGUGAAAUCCUAUAGCUCAACUAUAGUAAGCUUUUAAAACUGCUCAUCUUGAGGUAUGGAAGGGAAAGUGGAAUUCUUAGUGUAGCGGUGAAAUGAGCAGAUAUUAGGAGGAAUACCGGUGGCGAAGGCGACUUGCUGGCCAUAACCUGACGCUGAGGUACGAAAGCGUGGGUAGCAAACAGA